CCUACGGGUGGCAGCAGUGGGGAAUAUUGGACAAUGGGGGGAACCCUGAUCCAGCCAUGCCGCGUGUGUGAAGAAGGCCCUCGGGUUGUAAAGCACUUUCAGUGAGGAAGAACGCCUGGUGGUUAAUACCCAUCAGGAAAGACAUCACUCACAGAAGAAGCACCGGCUAACUCCGCGCCAGCAGCCGCGGUAAUACGGAGGGUGCGAGCGUUAAUCGGAAUUACUGGGCGUAAAGCGCGCGUAGGUGGCUUGAUAAGCCGGUUGUGAAAGCCCCGGGCUCAACCUGGGAACGGCAUCCGGAACUGUCAAGCUAGAGUGCAGGAGAGGAAGGUAGAAUUCCCGGUGUAGCGGUGAAAUGCGUAGAGAUCGGGAGGAAUACCAGUGGCGAAGGCGGCCUUCUGGACUGACACUGACACUGAGGUGCGAAAGCGUGGGUAGCAAACAGGAUUAGAUACCCUGGUAGUC
This 465-nucleotide ribosomal RNA is filed under the name Vreelandella stevensii. Its description in RNAcentral is "partial 16S ribosomal RNA". It matches the Rfam family "Bacterial small subunit ribosomal RNA", at positions 338 to 795 of the family's 1533-position model. The record is from RNAcentral. Lineage: Bacteria; Pseudomonadati; Pseudomonadota; Gammaproteobacteria; Oceanospirillales; Halomonadaceae.